ACUCAUUAACAAGUUAACAUUUUCAUAUGACCUUCAUGAAGUGAGGGAGAGAACCAUGUGGAACUGCAGCCAGAAGAAGAAGUACAAAGACCUUGAGUCUGUCUCUGGCUGGAGCCCUCAAGAAGGUAGAGACCUGCUUGAACCUCCAAGAGUCAAUUUUCUACACCAGCAGCAUAGCGGUCAGAUGAGUCUGGUGCAGGAGCACUUGUAAAGGGACAGAAAGAGGAACCAAUUAGAGAGAAAACAAAUCAAAGGAUGAAGGGGAAGCGGAAAUGCCUCUCAUAUGGAG
Molecule: long non-coding RNA, 289 nt
Organism: Rhinopithecus roxellana (golden snub-nosed monkey)
Lineage: Eukaryota; Metazoa; Chordata; Mammalia; Primates; Cercopithecidae
Exons: 3
Source: RefSeq, a predicted model, not a curated record